AGGAGCCCUUCAUCCGUCUGUCUUCCUGUCGGGAGUCCUCAGAUGGCUGCGGGAGGAGCAAGGAAGGGACCGGCGUGGCCUAAAUACUGACAUGCAGGUGGCCGGGGCCGGCGGAAACCUGCGAGAGGGUAAGAGACCCCAGCCUGGAUGACGGGUGCUCGUGUUUACUUCCCUAAGUGUUCUGUCUUGGAAGUUCUGGGGUGCGCCGGCUGAGGCGUUAAAGCGUGGAUGCCGGCACUCAGUUACGUGGACUCCAACCCCGGCUCGGCCGCCUAUUACCCACACUGGCCAACAUCCAUCUUUAAAAUGGGGCCAGCUGUGCUUGCCUCAGUGGAUUGUCACGCAGAUUAAGGUCCAUCACUCAGCAGAGGUGAAGCAUUCCUGGCAGAGCCUGGCACAGGGCUCCCGUCCAGGGCACCACAGUGCAUUUCAUCAUCACAUCUCCUCAGCCUCUUCCUGGCUGACAGUUGCUCAGUUUUCUUUGUUUUUCCCGACCUUCACAUUUGGCAGGGUACUGGCCAGGCAUCUGCAGAAAGGCCCCUUCAUUUGGGUUUGGCUGAUGUCUUUUCAUGGCCAGACUGUGGCUAUGGGUUUCGGAGGAAACCACGGAGGUGACGUUCCUUCUUGACGCAUCACGCCGGUGAGCACAUGCUGUCCACAGGACCUGUCCCUGAUGGUGCUGACCUGGAUCACCUGGCCAGGGUAUUGUUUGCCAGGUUUCUCCACCACCAAGAGACCCUCCCCUUCCACACCCCACUCUCUCGAAGCGAGUGGCCAUGUGCAGUCCAUACCCCCAGAGGGGAGAGUUUAAGCUCCUCCUGGAGAAGGGGGUAUCCAUGUAUUACCUGAAGUUUUCCUCUAGGAAGACUUAUCUCUUCUCCCCCAUUUACUUAUUUAUUUAGGCAUUUAUUUACACAAGUGUGGCCUUGUAGAUAUUUUUUAGACUUUGGCCUAUAAUCCAAUACUGUGUUACUUAUUUUGUUGCUCAGAUCCUCCCUUCAUUUUCAUCAGUGAAGAAGCCCUGGUCUGGGGGUAGGGGAUGGUCUGUGGCUCAGGGGGCUGCAGCAAGGAGAUGGGUCGUGGGUUACAGGCCCAGCUCGGGACCUUUGGUUUGGGUUCUCACAAUGACGGCCACAGCAGGUGGGAAGAAGAAGGAACAGAGGCUGUCUGAUUGGCGGCAAGGCCACUGCCCAUGCUGGGCUUGGGGUGGAACUCCAAUGGUAAGGAUGUAAACAAGGGGAUCUAGACGUGUGAUUUGCAGGCACAUUUCAUCCGUAAAAUUCUGGAAAAACUAAGGCCUUGAUGUGGUUGAGAAAGUGAUGCCGUGGAGACCCACGACUUUCUUAAGGGUCGUAGAACAACGCUGCAGACUUUGUGCGAUUGUGGGGGAGGGUGACACAGGCAUGUUGAAAUCCCCAGUGUGGAGGAUGGAGAAUAAA
Molecule: non-coding RNA, 1439 nt
Organism: Manis javanica (Malayan pangolin)
Lineage: Eukaryota; Metazoa; Chordata; Mammalia; Pholidota; Manidae
Source: RefSeq, a predicted model, not a curated record